CACCAGAAAGUGCAGAAACUGUUCUGUGAGGAUGACCAGAGCCCAAUAUGUAUGUCCUGUUCUGAGUCUAACAAGCAUAAGGCUCAUACACUCCAUUGUAUAGAUGAGGCUGCUGAGGACUUCAGGGAGAACCUCCAGGAAACUGUAACCAAUUUGUGGAGAAAAACUAAGGAUGUUGAGCAACAGAUAGCUAAUGAGAAGGUGAAAUUGGCACUACUGGAGGAGGAGGUAAAGACUCAAAAGGAGGCUAUUUAUUCUGAAUUCCAGAAAAUACAAUGUUUUCUGGAUGAGGAGAAAAAUGAAUAUCUAUCAAUUGUGGAGAGGCAGGGAAAGGCCAAUGUGAAAGGUCUAAAGAAGAGAAUAAGGAAAUUAUCUCUUCAAAAUCAAGAACUAAGGAAGAGGAUCAGAGAGUCAGAGGAGGUGUGCAG
Molecule: long non-coding RNA, 428 nt
Filed under: Phascolarctos cinereus (koala)
Lineage: Eukaryota; Metazoa; Chordata; Mammalia; Diprotodontia; Phascolarctidae
Description: lncRNA (ENSPCIG00000031466.1)
Source: RNAcentral